UUGCUCCCGGUUUUCUUCGUAGCGUUUAAAUUUUUCGCCUUUUACUAAAGAUUUCUGUGGAGAGAAAUAUUCAGAGUAUUCAUUAAAUUUUUUGUGGUUCCACUUUAUUGUGGGUCU
Molecule: small nuclear RNA, 117 nt
Gene: U5
Rfam family: U5 spliceosomal RNA
About the family: U5 RNA is a component of both types of known spliceosome. The precise function of this molecule is unknown, though it is known that the 5' loop is required for splice site selection and p220 binding, and that both the 3' stem-loop and the Sm site are important for Sm protein binding and cap methylation.
Source: Ensembl